This 460-nucleotide ribosomal RNA is filed under the name uncultured bacterium. Its description in RNAcentral is "partial 16S ribosomal RNA". It matches the Rfam family "Bacterial small subunit ribosomal RNA", at positions 338 to 795 of the family's 1533-position model. The record is from RNAcentral.
CCUACGGGUGGCAGCAGUGAGGAAUAUUGGUCAAUGGACGAGAGUCUGAACCAGCCAAGUAGCGUGAAGGAUGACUGCCCUAUGGGUUGUAAACUUCUUUUAUAUGGGAAUAAAAUGUUCCACGUGUGGGAUUUUGUAUGUACCAUAUGAAUAAGGAUCGGCUAACUCCGUGCCAGCAGCCGCGGUAAUACGGAGGAUCCGAUCGUUAUCCGGAUUUAUUGGGUUUAAAGGGAGCGUAGGGGGAUUGUUAAGUCAGUUGUGAAAGUUUGGGGCUCAACCGUAAAAUUGCGGUUGAAACUGGCAGUCUUGAGUACAGUAGAGGUGGGCGGAAUGCGUGGUGUAGCGGUGAAAUGCUUAGAUAUCACGAAGAACUCCGAUUGCGAAGGCAGUUCACUGGACUGCAACUGACACUGAGGCUCGAAAGUGUGGGUAUCAAACAGGAUUAGAUACCCGGGUAGUC